AGAGUUUGAUCCUGGCUCAGGAUGAACGCUGGCGGCGUGCCUAAUACAUGCAAGUCGAGCGAACAGAUAAGGAGCUUGCUCCUUUGAAGUUAGCGGCGGACGGGUGAGUAACACGUGGGUAACCUACCUAUAAGACUGGGAUAACUUCGGGAAACCGGAGCUAAUACCGGAUAACAUUUAGAACCGCAUGGUUCUAAAGUGAAAGAUGGUUUUGCUAUCACUUAUAGAUGGACCCGCGCCGUAUUAGCUAGUUGGUAAGGUAACGGCUUACCAAGGCGACGAUACGUAGCCGACCUGAGAGGGUGAUCGGCCACACUGGAACUGAGACACGGUCCAGACUCCUACGGGAGGCAGCAGUAGGGAAUCUUCCGCAAUGGGCGAAAGCCUGACGGAGCAACGCCGCGUGAGUGAUGAAGGGUUUCGGCUCGUAAAACUCUGUUAUUAGGGAAGAACAAAUGUGUAAGUAACUGUGCACAUCUUGACGGCACCUAAUCAGAAAGCCACGGCUAACUACGUG
RNAcentral lists this ribosomal RNA (517 nucleotides) under uncultured Staphylococcus sp. RNAcentral describes it as "bacterial SSU rRNA". It matches the Rfam family "Bacterial small subunit ribosomal RNA", at positions 8 to 507 of the family's 1533-position model. Lineage: Bacteria; Bacillati; Bacillota; Bacilli; Caryophanales; Staphylococcaceae. The record is from RNAcentral.